Molecule: unclassified non-coding RNA, 409 nt
Filed under: Hevea brasiliensis (rubber tree)
Lineage: Eukaryota; Viridiplantae; Streptophyta; Magnoliopsida; Malpighiales; Euphorbiaceae
Source: RNAcentral
CCUUAUUCUCCUUAUUAGUCAUAAUAUGCUGCUAUAUGUAUUUUUAACUGAGAAAUUUCAUUCACAAUUUUGUGGACAUGAAAACUUGUAGGAAAAUGAUAUGGUAUAGAUUAGGGGUCAAAAAAAAAGGGGAAAAAAUGGUUUCUCUCACUUUUAGACUGUUACCACUUGAUACCCGCCUUUGCCUACCACCCUUGCAAACAAUUGUCAUUACUGGUAUUCUCAACAACUGACUAAAUAGCCACUAUUAGCUUGUUGGAUGAUUUCCAUUUCCAUGAUAUUGAGUUUGAUGAGCUAUCAAAUCAAUUUAUUAUUGAAUCAUUUUGAGCGGGACCUUCUUCUACUAGUCGAUAAAUACCUAUGUGAUUUAGUUAGUUUUCGAGAGUUAUUAUUAUUGACAAUUGAGAAU